ACAGAAGACCCAGGACUUUCUAAAGACCAGCAAAUUUACAGCAAAGAUCGCGGCAAAGAUAUGUCUUCGAGCUCGUUCUGUGCUCCUUGUGCAAGGAUUGACAAUAGUUCAGCAUCUAUAAACUAUUGCAUGGAUUGUGAAGAAACACUUUGUCAAGACUGUGUUAGGGCACACAAAACCAUUAAAAUAUUGAUGGCUCAUCACCUAAUAGACUUGGAGGCAGUAGUAGUAAUGCCUAUAAAAGUAAUGUCUUCUCAAAAGCAAUGUGAAACACAUUCAGACUUCAUUUUGGACUACUAUUGUACAUACCAUGACUCUCUGCUGUCAUAGCUGCAUACCUAUAGAGCAUCGUAGUUGUGAUAAAGUUUUGACUCUCAAAGAAGCUUCCAGAGAUACAAAAAUAUCCGCCCUUUUUUCCGAUAUAACAGAUGGGUUAAAUCAAAUGUUCUUAACAACAGAAGAUGUAAUAAAGAAUAGAGGAAAUAUUAUUCAAAAGGUUGAAGAUGAAGGAUCUUCCAUUGUAAAAUCAAUUUCAAAUGCUAAGGUUUCUAUUAUAAAAGAACUUGAAGAAAUGGAAAAGUCAGCAUUAUCGAAACUCUCUGACCUGCAAGGUACAUUGGUAGUAAAUCUGAAGAGCGAGUGUUCUAAAGCUGAACAAAUAAAUAAAUUGGUUCAUGAGUAUCACAAGCAGUUAGAGUUUCUGUCCACGAAUGGUUCAAAUAAGCAAAUUUUUGUUCUUUUGCAAGAACUGAAAGUGGUUCUCUCAGAUGAAAACCGUAAUAUGAAGGUCUUCAUUGAAAAUUUACAGGAACCUAGUUAGGAGUAAGGAGGUACAGCUUGAAGCUCCUUGUAAGCCAUGGGGACUUGCAUAUAACAGCACAACACAGAAGUUAGUUGUCAACCUAAGCAAUAACAAAGUACAAAUCAUUGAAAAUUUUAAAGCAGCCCCUGCAUUAAAAGUAGCACUUGGAGCAAGGUACGACGUUUCAUGGCCCAAUGAUAAGAUGUAUGUUGGUGGACAUGGUAAAAUAUAUAUUCUUGAUAGCAAUUUGCAAGAAAUACAAUCAUACAAUGUAGGGGAAGAAGAUAUAUUUUAUAUACAUUAUAGAGAUGAAAAGCUUUAUCUAUCUGAAUUUAACAAAAAUAAUGUAUAUUGCAUCAAAGAGGAUGGUACUGUUAUUUUCACCUUCACCUCAAAGAACUUAAAGGGACCAAAUGGGAUUACAAGUGAUGGGGUUGGAAAUAUCUAUGUAGUAGGACGAUAUUCGAACAACAUUCAUAGAUUAUCUUCAGAUGGUACAUCCAGUGAAGUGGUUCUGAAGGAAGAAGAUGGACUGAAUGAACCUAUUACAAUAUGUUUUAGCAAAAAUUACAAGAAGUUGUUGGUGUCAAAACAUAAGGGAUUGUCUAUAUCAGUAUUUGAUUGUGUGUAUUAAUAACUGAAAGCUUACAUUGACAAUGUUCAUCACUGAAUUUUAAUUAAACAGUUUUAACAACAUCAA
Molecule: long non-coding RNA, 1502 nt
Organism: Mytilus californianus (California mussel)
Lineage: Eukaryota; Metazoa; Mollusca; Bivalvia; Mytilida; Mytilidae
Exons: 2
Source: RefSeq, a predicted model, not a curated record